UCUUGAUUCUUUCAGUUACUUCACGCAACGUCAACAAGGGAAUCCGGAGAAAGGGAAAGGGGGAGAGACGAAUUAAGUUUCAACGCGUUAGAGGAGAGAUGGUAAGCAUUUAUAGAACAUCAUGCUUUAAAAAAUGAAGAUGGAAGCUUGUAGAGCUACCAGUUAAAAGCACCUGUCCCAUUUCACUCACUCUUAGUAAGCAGGAUAAAUAACUCCUCAUCUUUGAUUGCACCCAUCUCCAUAGCCCUGUCCAGGGCGCUGAGUCCACCAUAAUCCUUGAUUGAUGCACGAGCACCUCUUCUAAGCAAAAAUUUAGCCAAGUGGUGUCUUCCAUUGCCGAUGCAAUGUUGUAGAGGAGUCCUUCCAUGAAAAUCACGCCUAUUAAUAUCAGAACCAAAUUGCAGAAGAAGUUCAAGCAUCACCGGAGUUUCCCCAUUGCAGGCUAGAUGUAACAAAGAACAGCCUUGAAGGCAAAGCUUGAUUCCCUGACAGGCUGCUGGGUUUUGAUGUUUCUUUUGGGAAUCCUGAAGGCCUAGUUUUGAAUCAUUUUCAUGAAUUUCAUGGUACAUUGUGG
This 574-nucleotide unclassified non-coding RNA is filed under the name Hevea brasiliensis (rubber tree). Lineage: Eukaryota; Viridiplantae; Streptophyta; Magnoliopsida; Malpighiales; Euphorbiaceae. The record is from RNAcentral.